AUUGAACGCUGGCGGCGUGGCUAAAGCAUGCAAGUCGAGCGAACCCGCAAGGGUGAGCGGCGGACGGGUUAGUAAUACGAUCGAACGUGCCCUGAGGGCGGGGGAGUAGGCGUGGGAAACGUAGCGCGUAAUACCCCACUGAUCUCUCCGGAGGCAAAGGUUUAACCUACCUUGGGAGUCGGCGAUCGUCCUAUCAGCUAGUUGGCGGGGUAAAGGGACCCACCAAGGCUAUGACGGGUAGCAGGUGNGAGAGCACGACCUGCAAC
This 266-nucleotide ribosomal RNA is filed under the name uncultured bacterium. RNAcentral describes it as "partial 16S ribosomal RNA". It matches the Rfam family "Bacterial small subunit ribosomal RNA", at positions 30 to 311 of the family's 1533-position model. The record is from RNAcentral.